AAGAUACAAAUAGCUGAAGAA
This 21-nucleotide non-coding RNA is filed under the name Caenorhabditis elegans. Lineage: Eukaryota; Metazoa; Nematoda; Chromadorea; Rhabditida; Rhabditidae. The record is from RNAcentral.